This 253-nucleotide ribosomal RNA is filed under the name uncultured bacterium. RNAcentral describes it as "partial 16S ribosomal RNA". It matches the Rfam family "Bacterial small subunit ribosomal RNA", at positions 524 to 776 of the family's 1533-position model. The record is from RNAcentral.
GACAGAGGGGGCGAGCGUUGUCCGGAGUCACUGGGCGUAAAGCGCGCGCAGGCGGCAACCUAAGUGUCGUGUGAAAGCCCCCGGCUCAACCGGGUGAGGCCAUGGCAAACUGGGUCGCUCGAGCUGCGGAGAGGCCCCUCGAAUUGCCGGUUUAGCGGUGAAAUGCGUAGAGAUCGGCAGGAAGACCAAGGGGGAAGCCAGGGGGCUGGCCGCAGGUUGACGCUGAGGCGCGACAGCGUGGGGAGCAAACCGG